Molecule: ribosomal RNA, 497 nt
Filed under: uncultured bacterium
Lineage: Bacteria
Description: partial 16S ribosomal RNA
Rfam family: Bacterial small subunit ribosomal RNA
Source: RNAcentral
GAUGAACGCUGGCGGCAUGCCUAACACAUGCAAGUCGAGCGAACAGACCAGGAGCUUUCUCCUUUGACGUUAGCGGCGGACGGGUGCGUAACACGUAGUUAACCUACCUCUAAGACUGGGAUACCUUCGGGAAACCGUAGCUAAUACCGGAUAAUAUUUCGAACCGCAUGGUUCGAUAGUGAAAUAUGCCUUUGCUUUCACUUAUAGAUGGACCUGCUCCGUAUUAGCUAGUUGGUAAGGUAACGGGUUACCAAGGCUACGAUACGUAGCCGACCUGAGAGGGUGAUCGGCCACACUGGAACUGAGACACAGUCGAGACUCCUACGGGAGGCAGCAGUAGGGAAUCUUACGCGAUGGGGGAAAGCGUGACGGGGCAACGCCGCGUGAGUGAUGAAGGUCUUCGGAUCGGAAAACUCUGUUAUUAGGAAAGAACAAACGUGUAAGUAACUGUGCACGUCUUGACGGUACCUAAUCAGAAAGCCACGGCUAACUACGUG